AAGUCUGGGCUACCGGCGCCGCGUAGUGGAUGCAGCAUCCUAGUUGAGGACGCCCCUCUGGAGCCGGUGACCUUCAGGGACGUGGCCAUCUACUUCUCAAGGGAGGAGUGGGCGUGUCUGGAACCCAGCCAGAGGGCCCUCUACCGGGACGUGAUGCUGGACAACUUCAGCAGUGUGGCUGCUCUGGGUGAGGACGGGCUGAGCGCUGUGUGAGCACGGGGAUUUUGCAGCCCCAGACCAGACCUCGUCUCUCGCCUGGAACAGUGGGAAGAGCCGUGGGUUGAAGACCGGGAGAGACCUGAGCUCCAGGCAGUGCAGAGAGGGCCCCAGCCAGAGUGGGAUGGAGCAGCUAUGUGAACACGAGCCCUGGGAGGUCCCUGAGUGCGUGGAGUCCCUGACUGGGGGCAAGGAAGUCUGCAGACCCCAAGAGACACUGUGAUCAUCCAGCUUGGGCUCACAAGAAAACCCACGUGCGGCGAG
RNAcentral lists this small RNA (480 nucleotides) under Pongo abelii (Sumatran orangutan). RNAcentral's name for it is "processed transcript". Lineage: Eukaryota; Metazoa; Chordata; Mammalia; Primates; Hominidae. The record is from RNAcentral.